This 429-nucleotide ribosomal RNA is filed under the name Bacillota bacterium. Its description in RNAcentral is "Firmicutes bacterium partial 16S ribosomal RNA". It matches the Rfam family "Bacterial small subunit ribosomal RNA", at positions 355 to 776 of the family's 1533-position model. The record is from RNAcentral. Lineage: Bacteria; Bacillati; Bacillota.
UAGGGAAUCUUCCGCAAUGGGCGAAAGCCUGACGGAGCAACGCCGCGUGAGUGAUGAAGGUCUUCGGAUCGUAAAACUCUGUUGUUAGGGAAGAACAAAUUUGUUAGUAACUGAACAAGUCUUGACGGUACCUAACCAGAAAGCCACGGCUAACUACGUGCCAGCAGCCGCGGUAAUACGUAGGUGGCAAGCGUUAUCCGGAAUUAUUGGGCGUAAAGCGCGCGUAGGCGGUUUCUUAAGUCUGAUGUGAAAGCCCACGGCUCAACCGUGGAGGGUCAUUGGAAACUGGGAAACUUGAGUGCAGAAGAGGAGAGUGGAAUUCCAUGUGUAGCGGUGAAAUGCGCAGAGAUAUGGAGGAACACCAGUGGCGAAAGCGGCUCUCUGGUCUGUAACUGACGCUGAUGUGCGAAAGCGUGGGGAUCAAACAGG